UACGGAGGAUGCAAGCGUUAUCCGGAUUUAUUGGGUUUAAAGGGUGCGUAGGCGGAUAUGUAAGUCAGCAGUGAAACUCACAGGCUCAACCUGUGCCGUGCCGUUGAAACUGUGUAUCUGGAAUGCGGAUGCUGUGGGAGGAAUGUGUAGUGUAGCGGUGAAAUGCAUAGAUAUUACACAGAACACCAAUUGCGUAGGCAGCUUACUGAGCCGACACUGACGCUGAGGCGCGAAAGCGUGGGGAG
Molecule: ribosomal RNA, 245 nt
Filed under: uncultured prokaryote
Description: partial 16S ribosomal RNA
Rfam family: Bacterial small subunit ribosomal RNA
Source: RNAcentral